This 426-nucleotide ribosomal RNA is filed under the name uncultured bacterium. RNAcentral's name for it is "bacterial SSU rRNA". It matches the Rfam family "Bacterial small subunit ribosomal RNA", at positions 356 to 774 of the family's 1533-position model. The record is from RNAcentral. RNAcentral also lists the same sequence under 1 other name.
GGGGAAUUUUGGACAAUGGGCGAAAGCCUGAUCCAGCAAUGCCGCGUGCAGGAUGAAGGCCUUCGGGUUGUAAACUGCUUUUGUACGGAACGAAAAAGCUUCUCCUAAUACGAGAGGCCCAUGACGGUACCGUAAGAAUAAGCACCGGCUAACUACGUGCCAGCAGCCGCGGUAAUACGUAGGGUGCGAGCGUUAAUCGGAAUUACUGGGCGUAAAGCGUGCGCAGGCGGUUAUGUAAGACAGAUGUGAAAUCCCCGGGCUCAACCUGGGAACUGCAUUUGUGACUGCAUGGCUAGAGUACGGUAGAGGGGGAUGGAAUUCCGCGUGUAGCAGUGAAAUGCGUAGAUAUGCGGAGGAACACCGAUGGCGAAGGCAAUCCCCUGGACCUGUACUGACGCUCAUGCACGAAAGCGUGGGGAGCAAACA